Molecule: unclassified non-coding RNA, 239 nt
Filed under: Hevea brasiliensis (rubber tree)
Lineage: Eukaryota; Viridiplantae; Streptophyta; Magnoliopsida; Malpighiales; Euphorbiaceae
Source: RNAcentral
GGAUGAAGUGGAGGUUGUUGAGAAUAGCCGAAGCAAGCUGCGGGGAGCAGCAGCCAAAGCAGCCCUCGCUCUCAUAGCCAUGGUUGCGGCGGUGUUGAUGACGAAGACAAACCCCAGAGUCUCAGCGACAGAAACGCUAAAUGGAAGCGCUUUCCCUUUGCUUUAUAGGCUGCUUUGGCGUAACAUUGAGACGCUAGGGUUUAUGGAUAGGAAGCAAAAUUAUAAAAUUAGAUUAUAAA